CCUACGGGGGGCAGCAGUGGGGAAUAUUGGACAAUGGGGGCAACCCUGAUCCAGCCAUGCCGCGUGUGUGAAGAAGGCCCUCGGGUUGUAAAGCACUUUCAGUGAGGAAGAACGCCUGGUGGUUAAUACCCAUCAGGAAAGACAUCACUCACAGAAGAAGCACCGGCUAACUCCGUGCCAGCAGCCGCGGUAAUACGGAGGGUGCGAGCGUUAAUCGGAAUUACUGGGCGUAAAGCGCGCGUAGGUGGCUUGAUAAGCCGGUUGUGAAAGCCCCGGGCUCAACCUGGGAACGGCAUCCGGAACUGUCAAGCUAGAGUGCAGGAGAGGAGGGUAGAAUUCCCGGUGUAGCGGUGAAAUGCGUAGAGAUCGGGAGGAAUACCAGUGGCGAAGGCGGCCUUCUGGACUGACAUUGACACUGAGGUGCGAAAGCGUGGGGAGCAAACAGGAUUAGAUACCCGUGUAGUC
RNAcentral lists this ribosomal RNA (465 nucleotides) under Vreelandella stevensii. RNAcentral's name for it is "partial 16S ribosomal RNA". It matches the Rfam family "Bacterial small subunit ribosomal RNA", at positions 338 to 795 of the family's 1533-position model. Lineage: Bacteria; Pseudomonadati; Pseudomonadota; Gammaproteobacteria; Oceanospirillales; Halomonadaceae. The record is from RNAcentral.